CAGCAGCCGCGGUAAUACGUAGGGGGCGAGCGUUGUCCGGAAUUACUGGGCGUAAAGGGUGCGUAGGUGGCCUAGCAAGUCAGAUGUGAAAUCCCCGGGCUUAACUCGGGGGGUGCAUUUGAAACUGCCAGGCUUGAGUGCAGGAGAGGAAAGCGGAAUUCCUAGUGUAGCGGUGAAAUGCGUAGAUAUUAGGAGGAACACCAGUGGCGAAGGCGGCUUUCUGGACUGUAACUGACACUGAGGCACGAAAGCGUGGGGAGCAAACAGGAUUAGAUACCCUGGUAGUCCACGCGGUAAACGAUGGAUACUAGGUGUGGGGGAGAUACAACCUCCGUGCCGCAGCUAACGCAAUAAGUAUCCCGCCUGGGGAGUACGGUCGCAAGACUGAAACUCAAAGGAAUUGACGG
Molecule: ribosomal RNA, 407 nt
Filed under: uncultured bacterium
Lineage: Bacteria
Description: bacterial SSU rRNA
Rfam family: Bacterial small subunit ribosomal RNA
Source: RNAcentral